UGCUCUGAGAUGACACGGAUGAUGGAAUGGGUUGUUUGGGGCAGUGGCUCUGGAGCUCUGGAAAGCAGAGUGUCUCCACAGAUGGGGCCACAUCACCGCCCCAUACCUCCCCGCUCCCGGCCCCACACCUCCCUGCUCCCAGCCCCAGCUGGCUCCGCCCAGCAGGCUCUGGCAGCCUGGAGCACGCGGGCUCAGGUGACAGGCAUGUGCCGCAGGAGUGUGGGCAGAGCUGGACGCCAGAACCCCAGGCGGGCACCUCCAGCCCAGCCCUUGACCUCAGUGACUCACUUGCCAGGCAUGAUGGCGGAGGUGGCAUGAGGUUCAGAGCUCCACAGGAGGGGCUCAGUGGGCAGGCAGGGUGGCUGGGGACCCCGUGGGGGAUUACAGGUAGCUAGCUCUCAAGGGCUAGAUUUGGACAUCAGGACUUGGGUGGGGUCCUCACAAUUUGAGUCCGUACAGCGUCCAGGAUCGGGGUCUGCAGGUGGGACCAGAUGUUCUCUGAGCCCUCAGGUCUAUUUCCAGGAACUCGAUCCUGACCAACAUAGAUGUCUAGAGGGCCGGCAGGAAGUAGAGGGCAGGGUGAGUCCUGGGUGGUAGCAGUUGGUGAUGGAGACAUGCCUAAGUGGUGAAGUGGUUUUUUUUUUUUUUAACUUUAUAAAAAAUUUUAUUUGUUCUUUUUAGUUAUACAUGGUAGUAGAGUGCGUUUUGACAUAUCAUACAUGCAGUAUAACUUCCCAUUCUUGUGGAUGUGCAUGAGGUGGAGUUACACUGGUCAUGUAUUCAUAUAUGAACACAGGAAAGUGACGUCCAAUUCAUUCUACUACCUUUCCCAUUCCCUUCCCCCUACUCCCCCCCUCUCUCAUCUGGUGAACCUCCACUCCUCCCUCCCUCACCCCAACACCUCCUGCCUGUUGUGGGUCAUUAUCUGCAUGUGAGAGAGAACACUGGCCUUUGAUUUGGGGGGACUGCCUAUUUCACUUAGCAUAAUAGUCCCCAGGUCCAUCCAUUUACUGGCAAAUGACAUAAUUUCAUUCUUCUUUAUGGAUGAAUAACAUUCCAUUGUGUCUAUAUGCUACAUUUUCUUUAUCCAUUCAUCUGUUGAAGGGCACUAGGUUGGUUCCACAGUUUGGCUCUUGUGAAUUGAGCUGCUGUAAACAUUGAUGUGGCUGUGUCCCUGUAGUAGGCUGAUUUUAAGUUCUGUGAGUAUAGACCAAGGAAUGGGAUAACUGGGUUAAAUGGUGGUUCAAUUCAAGUUUUCUGAGGAAUCUCCAUACUGCUUUCCAGAGUGGUUGCACCAACUUGAAGUUCCACCAACAAUAGAUGGUGAAGUUUUGAAUCCACAUUCAUUGGGGUCAGGGCUUUUGUGGCCGCUGGAUGGACCUCAGCCCACAGAGUAGGGCGAGACAAGGGCGUGGAGAAGAGUUUGACUGAAUGUCAGGACCAGGAUGUGACCCCAGAGAGGCAGAGGCCAGGUUGAAUGGGUGUAGGGUACUCUCUAUGGCCAGGGAAAUGGGACUUAGGUUGGCAGCCACCUUGGCCACCUGAGUUGGGUUCAGCUCAGAUUGGAGUGAUCUGUAAUGCAGAGCAGGCUGAGGGUGACCCCCUGGUGGAUACUCGAAGUGUGUGUGUGUUCCUGCAGGAGAAGCAGAGGACCAAGUGGAGGUGACAGCCACAAGCAGAAGGAGAGCCCAAAGCCACCUGGGUGGCCCCAGGACGGCUUCCCAGAAGAGGCUACCAGUUCCACCUGUGUGCCCCAACCCUGCCCCUGCCCUGAGGUCCAGAGGGGCACCCAGGGAGGGCCUCCACAGGUCCUGUUCUUCCUUUCUGAGUGACUGCCUUAAAAUAACAUUCUCAUGGCCAUUUGUCCACCCCCAGUUCCUUCCUUCUCUGGUUUCCACUUUUACACCACACCAGGAGUUUUUCUGUGAACACAACUCCUAUUUGAUUAUUCUCCAGCUCAGAAGCCUUCCAUGGCUCCCUACUGCUCAUGGAAGGAAUCUUCUUAACUUUUCAUCUAAGGUUCCCUGCAAUAUGACCUCUGCUUGAAGACCCUCUUCAAGCUUCUACCCGUGCUGAAAAUAGUGGAGAAUUGGCCAUUUAUCCUAAAUUCUACAAAGAUCCUGCCCUGUGCUUUGGAUUAGGCUCUGCCAGGAAGCUUUGGUGUCUUUGCCUUCCUUCUGAAGCCAGGCCUGGCCUCCCAGGGCCUGCUCACAUGCCCUUCACCCGCCAAUCGAGGGCUUCCUGCCUGCAGGGGGUUCUUCCUCCCCCUCACUGGGCUAUUGCCUUGUCCUGGGUGCUACAUUAGUAUGUAUUCUUAACAUUUUUGUUCAUUAUUCUCUCUCCCUAAACAGAAUGCAAGGGAGCUAAAUCUAAGAUGGAGAGUGUCCUGCCCCGCCUUGCUCUUCCCCCACACGAGGACCUUGUCCUCCUCCCUUCGUGUUCUCGUUCUGGCUGGGGGACUUGUCCAGCUAUUCUCUGCCCGGUGAACCCCAGAGAAGCUCCCCCAGGGUUUCAAGAGGCACCCAAGCUCUCUCGAUGGCGCUGUCCCACCCACAGCUCUCUGCGCGUCUGAAUUGGCCCUCUCCUGGCUGCUGGUCUUCCUGCCGGGCCCUUGGCUCCCAUGUGCAGAGCCUGGGGCUUCCAGCUGCUGUAGCCCUGCUGCCCAGGAAGGACCAUGCAGGAGGCCCCAGAUGUGUUGGCUGAAGGCAAACCCAGAGCUGGGGAGAUGGGGGCAAAGCUACAUACACCUCCAGCCACAGCCACUGGGCGCUGGUGGGCGGAGGGCAGUGUGUGGGAAGGUGCGUGGUGCAAGGUCGGGCAGCCAUGGCUGAACACCAUCUCUGCUCCCAGCCAGUUAGCUCAGCCCUGGAAAAUCACCACAGUGUCCUCAUUCUGCAGAGUCUGGAUAAGACUCCAGGGAUCAGGGGGAAGAGGAGAAGAGGGGCGUGCAGGCCAGCUCCGUCCCAUCUCCCAGUGGGGAAUCCAUCAGCUCACAGCCACCGAGUCGGAGGCCCGCAGCAGGUCCCAGCUGGAGAUGGCAGUGCCUCAGAAAGACCUUGGCUGUGGGUGCCAGGAUGCGAUGCUUCCAGAACUCUCCAUGUUCCCUCAUCUCUGCCAAUUCACAGCCCGGCUUUACUGUCCCCUGCACACUGACUUUCUCCAUGGCAGCCAGACCACAAUGUGAGGUUCCUGCAGGGAGGAGGCCCCCGGGGUGGAAGCGGGUGAGGAUUUUGGGGAAGGCUGCCAGCCCAGGUCUGGUGGUCAGCCCCAGCCACUGCUGGUCAGCAGGGCAUUUGAGGGGGCAGGGGCUGGGUCUCCCUGCAGUCCUAUGAUGCAACAACCCCUGGAAGGUGCGGCAGCUCUUCCCCUGGCUUGGGAAGUGGAAAAUCCCAGGGAGGGGCACGGAUGCUGCUUGGUGAACACAGGUGUGCCGGCAGGGGCAGAAACAGCCCCCAGGCCCCGGCGCCAGCAGAGAGCGCCAGGCUGUGCCUUGCAGUCCCGCUGCCCACUUCCCUGGUGGCCGGUCUUGAUCCGGAGCUGUGCAAGGGAUGAGAAUCCUGAGGAGCGUCAGCCCUUCCUGGCUAAGUCGACACCUCCUGGAGCUGCCACUUGAGCUCUUCCAAGGUCCACACCUUACAGUCUCUGCCUGACCCGUGUCCCUACCCCCACAGCCCGCGUGGUCCCUGUCUGGGUUGGGUGUCCCUCCCUGGACCACAUGCCUCUGGACCCAGAGUCAGGCAGGAAGGUGAUAAAAGAGCAGCUUCUGCAAGCACCUGAGCCGAGGUGGUUUCUUGGGACAGGAAGGCUACGACGGUGUCACCUCAAUCAUCAUUCACACGUUAUCCAUUAAAGUGAUAAAGUGGGGGAAACGUGGGCGAGGACCUUGUAUCAAAGAGAAGGACGCCAAACCUGUGGGUCACGAGCAACCAUGAACUUGUCCUUCUGGGGCACGGCACAUGGCUCUCUGGGUCCCAAGGACCACAGCCAGUCCUAUAUCCUCAGUGUGAACGUGAGCACCUGCCACCCCCACACUCCGCCACAGGCUUCAGGUAGGGGACCGUGUCCAGUACAGCCCUGCCCCCAGGUGUGCCUGUCACAGCAAGAGUGCCCACGCACACUGGGGCUGUGUGUGAGCAGCACCCCUCCUGGGACCCCCCUCCGUCUCCUCCGGGCAAUCAGGGCAGCUGUCCCCGUCCCUACGGCAGACAUCUUCCACGCUUCUGGCUACGGUGCUCUUUAAAUCCACUCACAAACCUCUCUCUGGCACCAGCCGUGUGCCAGCACUGUGCCUGCCCCUGCGGAGCUGAGUCUGGAGUGAGGGAGAAUAGAAAGUCACCACAUUGUCCCUGUGAGGCUAAGUAUUUGGAUGCUGGAUGCUGGGAGGUGCCUACAUCCCUCUGAGGGCUUCUCCUUGGCCUUCCCAUACAUUGUAUGGCUCUUCUUUUCCAGUCUCCCACAUCCCCUUUCCCAGUGUUGGAGUGUGUGCCUUCCCCCCAGGGCUGAAUUCUUUCCAGACUUUGGGAGAACCUGGGCAUCCUGGCUUGGGCCUUCUGCUCUGACCUGGAGCUGCUCCGUUUUGGACGAAGGAACUGGUUCCCAGAGCUGCCAGCUGCUAUUCCUCACACCUGCCCGCCCCCUGCCCCUUCCCAUACCAGAGGACACCAGGCAGGAGUCUGGCAAGAACGACCCGCCCAGACACCCCAGGGCCUCUGUGAUCACCCAGAGAGCUCCGCCCGUGACGCCCGAGUCCUCCAGAGGCAGGUCAGGCUGCAAAGCUGCUUGGAAAUGUGUGGGUGGGGAGGGGCCCGCUUGGGUCUCCCAAGCCUCCAUGGCCCUGCUUGGGAGAGGAGGGGGGAGUCUAAAUAAAUGGUGUCCCCAGAGCAAAUCGAGUUAAAUGUUAGAAACAUCCCCAAGUCCUGAAACACCCCAGGCCUGGCUGCAGCUGCAGCUGUGUUUCUCUUAGACGGUGCCAGGAAAGCAAAGAUCCUGAGGCUUGAUGCCACACCAACCCGGCUGUGAGUCCUGGCUGCAGUCCUGAUUGGCUGGAUGUGUCUGAACAGCAUGUUUAGCUUCUCCUCAACCGUCAGCCUUCCUGAAAAUGGACACCAUGUACCCUACAGGGCUGCCAGGAAGAGUGAUUAUGUAAAUAUUGAGUUGAAGGCUCCAAGGCUAUUUUUACCAAUAAUAGCCAAGUGGAUUCUCACGGCCUCUUAGGCUUGUUGUGGAGAUCAAUGAGGCCAUUUGAAUGUAUUCGGUGGUUUUGUUCUUGGCUUGUAUCCCUUGAAUC
This 5287-nucleotide long non-coding RNA is filed under the name Marmota monax (woodchuck). The record is from RNAcentral. Lineage: Eukaryota; Metazoa; Chordata; Mammalia; Rodentia; Sciuridae.